Molecule: ribosomal RNA, 486 nt
Filed under: uncultured bacterium
Lineage: Bacteria
Description: partial 16S ribosomal RNA
Rfam family: Bacterial small subunit ribosomal RNA
Source: RNAcentral
GAUGAACGCUGGCGGCGUGCUUAACACAUGCAAGUCGAACGGAAAGGCCUCAGCUUGCUGGGGUACUCGAGUGGCGAACGGGUGAGUAACACGUGGGUGAUCUGCCCUGCACUUUGGGAUAAGCUUGGGAAACUGGGUCUAAUACCGAAUAUGACCACUUCUUGGAUGUUGUGGUGGAAAGCUUUUGCGGUGUGGGAUGAGCCUGCGGCCUAUCAGCUUGUUGGUGGGGUAAUGGCCUACCAAGGCGGCGACGGGUAUCCGGCCUGAGAGGGGGGACGGACACAUUGGGACUGAGAUACGGCCCAGACUCCGACGGGAGGCAGCAGUGGGGAAUAUUGAGCAAGGGGCGCAAGCCUGAUGCAGCGACGCCGCGGGGGGGAUGAAGGCCUUCGGGUUGUAGACUCCUUUCGCUAUCGACGAAGCCACUUGUGGUGACGGUAGGUAGAUAAGAAGCACCGGCUAACUAUGUGCCAGCAGCCGCAGUAA